GAUGAACGCUAGCGGCAGGCCUAACACAUGCAAGUCGAGGGGCAGCGAGAUGUAGCAAUACAUUGUCGGCGACCGGCGUAAGGGUGCGUAACACGUGAGUAACUUGCCCGUAACAGGGGGAUAAGCGAUGGAAACGUCGUCUAAUACCCCAUAAUAAUUGUUAUCGCAUGAUGAUGAUUUGAAAAUUCCGAUGGUUACGGAUAGACUCGCGUUACAUUAGCUAGUUGGUGAGGUAACGGCUCACCAAGGCGACGAUGUAUAGGGGUUCUGAGAGGAAGAUCCCCCACACUGGAACUGAGACACGGUCCAGACUCCUACGGGAGGCAGCAGUGAGGAAUAUUGGACAAUGGAGGGAACUCUGAUCCAGCCAUGCCGCGUGAAGGACUAAGGCCCUAUGGGUCGUAAACUUCUUUUGACGCAGAGCAAUAAGAGAUACGAGUAUUUUGAUGAGAGUAUGCGUCGAAUAAGCAUCGGCUAACUCCCGUGCCAGCAGCCGCGGUAAUACGGAGGAUGCGAGCGUUAUCCGGAUUUAUUGGGUUUAAAGGGUGCGUAGGCGGUUGUGCAAGUCAGUGGUGAAAUACGAACGCUCAACGUUCGGGCUGCCAUUGAAACUGUACGGCUAGAGUUCGGAUGCCGUGGGAGGAAUGAGUAGUGUAGCGGUGAAAUGCAUAGAUAUUACUCAGAACACCGAUUGCGAAGGCAUCUCACGAAUGCGAAACUGACGCUGAUGCACGAAAGCGUGGGGAUCAAACAGGAUUAGAUACCCUGGUAGUCCACGCUGUAAACGAUGAUAACUAACUGCCGGCGAUAAACGGUCGGUGGCCAAGCGAAAGCGAUAAGUUAUCCACCUGGGGAGUACGACCGCAAGGUUGAAACUCAAAGGAAUUGACGGGGGCCCGCACAAGCGGAGGAACAUGUGGUUUAAUUCGAUGAUACGCGAGGAACCUUACCCAGGCAUCGAACGGCAUAUGAAUAUUGCAGAGAUGUGAUAGUCUUCGGACAUAUGUCGAGGUGCUGCAUGGUUGUCGUCAGCUCGUGCCGUGAGGUGUCGGCUUAAGUGCCAUAACGAGCGCAACCCUUGUCGUUAGUUACCAUCAAGUAAAGUUGGGGACUCUAACGAGACUGCCACCGCAAGGUGUGAGGAAGGGGGGGAUGACGUCAAAUCAGCACGGCCCUUACGUCUGGGGCGACACACGUGUUACAAUGGUAGGUACAGAGGGUAGCUAUUGAGUGAUCAAGUGCAAAUCUCAAAAACCUAUCUCAGUUCGGACUGGAGUCCGCAACCCGACUCCACGAAGCUGGAUUCGCUAGUAAUCGCGCAUCAGCCAUGGCGCGGUGAAUACGUUCCCGGGCCU
This 1355-nucleotide ribosomal RNA is filed under the name uncultured bacterium. RNAcentral describes it as "bacterial SSU rRNA". It matches the Rfam family "Bacterial small subunit ribosomal RNA", at positions 28 to 1381 of the family's 1533-position model. The record is from RNAcentral.